AAUUCGGUGAUGGUGAUGUCAGCAGGUGUGUGAAAUGGCAUUGAAUGACCCGGAAGUAAUAAAUUCUAGGAUUCAGGCAGUUAUUCCCAGAGAAAACCUCAACCAUUCUACGCCCACCAUAUCGCGCGGCGAGAAGACUCAGUAAGGCAUACUCGGAGCCAAGUGGAGGUUACCUGUAGGCGGAAAAAGUUGAGCGACUGUUAUUUUUACCCCUUGUUAGAUCGAUAUUUGGCUUUGUAACAGCAUCGAGAAGUACUAUUAUAUGCACGAUUUCUUUUUCAAGGAUGGAGUUAAAAAGAAACUGGAGAAAAUAAAGAAGAAUCAUCUUUAUAUUUAUGCAACAAGAAAGAAAAAUGAAGCUACUCAUCUCAAAGCAUACUGGAGUCAAAGGAAUAAAACUAUACCUAAACAAAACCAUGUCAAUGAAGAAUUGGAAAACCAGAGCCUAUCAAGAAUUCACUGCAGCCAUCAAGAACUGAUUGAAAACGAAAUAACUUCCGGAGUGCAUGAAGUAGUGUACUAUGAAGAAAGCUAUCCGGCAAAGAAAAAAUUUAAACUUGAUAGCUGCAGUUAUCAAGUUCCGGAAGGUAGAGACUCACGAUGACACCUUGGCAGCCAGGGAGUAAAAACGGCACAAGAAAUUUCUUCAAGAGAAAAUGACACAUCAGAUGAAGAGAAUAACUACUCUGUAACCAAUGUCCUGCACAAUGAAGAUGGGCAGUGUAUGUAAGUCCCUUAGCCCACUUUAAAAAUAAGUUAAUUACAAAGUGUUUUUAAUACAUGCUAUUUUUCUUUCUUCAACUAUUUCCUGAAAAAUUGUUUACUUUUUUUCCUUCGUAUCAUUUGCACACGGUCGGGUAGUUAUAAUAUUACACGAAACUAGACAUUCUUUCGAAACUAUAUUUCUAUCUAAAUAAAUCAAUAUAAAUAGUUAAAUGUUAUUGCUACUGUAAUGUGGCUCUUUCAGCUCUACAGCCAUGUCUUACACAGAAAUGCAACCGCCUCUGAAACUAUUUGAGAUGGAAGCAGGAUGUUCUUUCUGGUCAACCACCGAAGGAGCCAUUGACAUUCCAUAUGAGCUGGUGGACAGGAAUGAGCCAACUGUAGACAGUAGAUGUAUCAACAAUUCAGAGACAAGCAAUCAGGUUAGCUGAAUAACAAUUAUAUUGCUUUUAAUUAUAUUGACCUGUUAAAAAAUUACAGUUAAGUUAUAAUUUAACUUUACGAAUAUACUUCAAUUGAAAAAUUACACAACUACUCAAACUACAUAAAUGUUUUUAUCAGAAAUUUCACUAAAAACAGGGCAAAAAAAUGAAUACAGUAAAAAAUCUUAUCCCCAUUUAGUGACAAUAGACAGCAUAUUUUACUGACCUUACUUAAAAGUGAUACACCAUCCCCAGUUAAAACAUAAACAGCAUUCAUAAGAACACUGAUUUAAGCACUGAAAAUGUUUAUAUUGUAGCAAGACUUUUCAAAGUAUGCAUCAUACAUUGGACAAAAAACUAUUAAAGAUACUACAGAUACUAUAAGUACUUUUACUGCUAUCAAUAUUCCUGUUUUAUUCGAAACUAGGGAAAAAAUAAUAUAUACAUAUUUUAUGCACAUAGAAAUAUAACAUGAUUUUAGGUACAUUAAUAGAUAUAAGUUAUUCAAAAAUAAUAUAUUUAUGAAUGAUUUCAGCCGAACAGUUUAUUCAUUACUCCAAGAAAAUAUCAACAUUUGGAUGAAUAUAUUGAACAUGUAAAGGAAGACAACGGUUUGAUACUAGAAAAGCAGCAAAAAUCCACUAUGGUCCUCAAUGUCAACAGCCUGACAUGGAUCCAGAAACAUUUGAGGAACAGAUUCAAGCUUUCCUCAGUAGGUUACAACUAACACAAGAGGACCGUCAACAUUUAGAGAGAGACACAAUUCUCCAGGCAGGAAGCGGAAAAUGGCUUGAAACACAUAGAAAAAUUCUAACAGCUUAGAAUUUCGGGAAAGUCUGUCGUAGACGUGCAUUAACAAGCUGCGUUAACUUAGUUCGCAGAAUUGUUUAUACCUCCGAUAUUUUGAACGUGCCUGCAAUUUAUCAUGGUAAAAGGUUUGAGGUGAUGGCUAUAGAACUAGAAAAACAAGAAGGAAUAUAAGGUUGGAAAAAGUGGACUCUUCAUUGACAAGGAAUUGCCUUUCUUGGGUGCCACUCCGGAAGGUGUUAUUGGAGAAAAGGGUCUUGCAGAAGUUAAGUGUCCAUCAUCUGCAAUUGAAAAAGAUGUUACUGCAGCAGUUAAACAAGGGAACAUCCGAUAUAUGAGUUCGAAGGAGAUGAACUGAAACUGAAAAAACACAUUCAUAUUUUUAUCAAGUUCAGGGACAGCUGCACAUUUCAGAGAGGGAAUAUUGCAUUUUUAGUGUUUGGACAUCAGUGGAAAAAGAGAUGGCAAUAUUUCGAAUUGAAAGGGAUGACAAUUUUUGUAAACAAGAGAUGGAACCACAUCUUAAAAAAUUCUAUUAUAACUGCAUUUUGCCAGAACUGGUGGACCCUAGGCAUACGAGGAGCAUGGAAAUUCGAGACCCUCCAUACAUUAUUGACGCUAUUGAAAAAAGAGCAAGAAAAAAAUUUGCUGCUGUCAAGACUUGUUCAGCUGCUCAUUAAUUACCUCUGUAGCGUAUCUUCUUAAAAAAUGUGGAAAUAUAAUAUGUAUUUUUUCUUAAAGUAUUUAUUGCGAUAUGACAUUAUUAUAUAAGAAAAUUUAAAAUCAGUGCGCUGUUAAAUUAUGCUUGUAAAAGCAGACCAUCUAAAUUUACUCAACUGUAUCCAUAAACUCAUAUGUUUAUUGUCUUUGUGGUGUGCAAAUGUGUUCAAAUUCAAUUAUAUUUGAUUAAAUAAGAUGUAUUUGUACAACUUCAUACAUUAACUUUUUUUUCUUCA
Molecule: long non-coding RNA, 2908 nt
Organism: Bacillus rossius redtenbacheri
Lineage: Eukaryota; Metazoa; Arthropoda; Insecta; Phasmatodea; Bacillidae
Exons: 3
Source: RefSeq, a predicted model, not a curated record